Molecule: unclassified non-coding RNA, 253 nt
Filed under: uncultured Pirellulaceae bacterium
Lineage: Bacteria; Pseudomonadati; Planctomycetota; Planctomycetia; Pirellulales; Pirellulaceae
Description: contains 16S-23S intergenic spacer region
Rfam family: Bacterial small subunit ribosomal RNA
Source: RNAcentral
UACGAGAGGCCCAAACGUUAUUCGGAUUUACUGGGCUUAAAGAGUCCGUAGGCGGCGCAGAAAGUGGGGUGUGAAAUCCCUCGGCUCAACCGAGGAAUUGCGCUCCAAACUACUGUGCUUGAGGAACCUAGAGGUGAGCGGAACUGAUGGUGGAGCGGUGAAAUGCGUUGAUAUCAUCAGGAACACCGGAGGCGAAGGCGGCUCACUGGGGGUUUUCUGACGCUGAGGGACGAAAGCCAGGGGAGCAAACGGG